UACGGGGGGGGCAAGCGUUGCUCGGAAUCACUGGGCGUAAAGGGUGCGUAGGCGGCUGUGCAAGUCUGGCGUGAAAGCCCCGGGCUCAGCCCGGGAAGUGCGCUCGAAACUGCACGGCUCGAGUGCCGGAGGGGAGAGUGGAAUUCCUGGUGUAGCGGUGAAAUGCGUAGAUAUCAGGAGGAAUACCGGUGGCGAAAGCGACUCUCUGGACGGCAACUGACGCUGAGGCACGAAAGCGUGGGGAGCAAACAGG
Molecule: ribosomal RNA, 253 nt
Filed under: uncultured bacterium
Lineage: Bacteria
Description: partial 16S ribosomal RNA
Rfam family: Bacterial small subunit ribosomal RNA
Source: RNAcentral